Molecule: ribosomal RNA, 463 nt
Filed under: uncultured bacterium
Lineage: Bacteria
Description: bacterial SSU rRNA
Rfam family: Bacterial small subunit ribosomal RNA
Source: RNAcentral
UCCAACUCCUACGGGAGGCAGCAGUGAGGAAUAUUGGUCAAUGGCCGAGAGGCUGAACCAGCCAAGUCGCGUGAGGGAUGACGGCCCUACGGGUUGUAAACCUCUUUUGUCGGGGAGCAAAGAGAGUCACGUGUGGCUCAUUGAGAGUACCCGAAGAAAAAGCAUCGGCUAACUCCGUGCCAGCAGCCGCGGUAAUACGGAGGAUGCGAGCGUUAUCCGGAUUUAUUGGGUUUAAAGGGUGCGCAGGCGGAGGUGCAAGUCAGUGGUCAAAUUGCGGGGCUCAACCCCGUACUGCCGUUGAAACUGCAUCCCUUGAGUGCGCGAGAAGUAUGCGGAAUGCGUGGUGUAGCGGUGAAAUGCAUAGAUAUCACGCAGAACUCCGAUUGCGAAGGCAGCAUACCGGCGCGCAACUGACGCUCAUGCACGAAAGCGUGGGUAUCGAACAGGAUUAGAUACCCCCGUA